GAUGAACGCUGGCGGCGUGCCUAAUACAUGCAAGUCGAGCGAACAGACGAGGAGCUUGCUCCUCUGACGUUAGCGGCGGACGGGUGAGUAACACGUGGAUAACCUACCUAUAAGACUGGGAUAACUUCGGGAAACCGGAGCUAAUACCGGAUAAUAUAUUGAACCGCAUGGUUCAAUAGUGAAAGACGGUUUUGCUGUCACUUAUAGAUGGAUCCGCGCCGCAUUAGCUAGUUGGUAAGGUAACGGCUUACCAAGGCAACGAUGCGUAGCCGACCUGAGAGGGUGAUCGGCCACACUGGAACUGAGACACGGUCCAGACUCCUACGGGAGGCAGCAGUAGGGAAUCUUCCGCAAUGGGCGAAAGCUUGACGGAGCAACGCCGCGUGAGUGAGGAAGGUCUUCGGAUCGUAAAACUCUGUUAUUAGGGAAGAACAAAUGUGUAAGUAACUAUGCACGUCUUGACGGUACCUAAUCAGAAAGCCACGGCUAACUACGUGC
This 498-nucleotide ribosomal RNA is filed under the name uncultured bacterium. Its description in RNAcentral is "partial 16S ribosomal RNA". It matches the Rfam family "Bacterial small subunit ribosomal RNA", at positions 28 to 508 of the family's 1533-position model. The record is from RNAcentral.